Molecule: ribosomal RNA, 439 nt
Filed under: uncultured bacterium
Lineage: Bacteria
Description: bacterial SSU rRNA
Rfam family: Bacterial small subunit ribosomal RNA
Source: RNAcentral
GGCGGACGGGUGAGUAACGCGUGGGCAACCUACCCAUAAGCGGGGGAUAACAAGUUGGAAACGACUGCUAAUACCGCAUAAGCUAUUGAGGUCGCAUGACCUAAAUAGUAAAGGUGGCGAAAGCUAUCACUUAUGGAUGGGCCCGCGUCUGAUUAGCUAGUUGGUGGGAUAGCAGCCUACCAAGGCAACGGAUCAGUAGCCGGCCUGAGAGGGUGGACGGCCACACUGGGACUGAGACACGGCCCAGACUCCUACGGGAGGCAGCAGUGGGGAAUAUUGCGCAAUGGGGGAAACCCUGACGCAGCGACGCCGCGUGAGCGAAGAAGGCCUUAGGGUCGUAAAGCUCUGUUGUAAGGGACGAAUGUUUAUCUGGCGAACAGUCAGAUAAAGUGACGGUACCUUACCAGCAAGCCCCGGCUAACUACGUGCCAGCCGCCGC